Molecule: long non-coding RNA, 410 nt
Organism: Lates calcarifer (barramundi perch)
Lineage: Eukaryota; Metazoa; Chordata; Actinopteri; Centropomidae
Exons: 3
Source: RefSeq, a predicted model, not a curated record
UGGAAAUGACAAACAGAGCAGCAGACACAGAGGCAGCGCUGGUCAGGAGUCAGUUAAACAACAACACACACACACACACAUCCACGUCAUGACCACAGGUGAGGGUUCAAACGUAGAUCUACUGGGAAAUGGAGAACUUCUCCUUCUGGCUCAGCUUCAUCUUCCACCAAGGAACAAGCUCUCAAAUACUGUGAGAGCAGGAGCAUCCCUCUCUAUCUUCAAGAACCUGUUGAAGACUUCAGCGUCUCCUGCACUGAAGCUUUAGAGUUGUCCCUCACUCCUCGCUGUAGCGACAAGCUUCAUUUUUAAAAACAAAGAAAAAGGGGUACGCCUACCUGUAAUCUUUUCAGGACUUUCAGAAAGCAGCAGCUCCACUUUUCCAUCGUCUGGGAACCGAGGAUCUGGAACGU